This 497-nucleotide ribosomal RNA is filed under the name uncultured bacterium. RNAcentral describes it as "partial 16S ribosomal RNA". It matches the Rfam family "Bacterial small subunit ribosomal RNA", at positions 28 to 507 of the family's 1533-position model. The record is from RNAcentral.
GACGAACGCUGGCGGCGUGCCUAAUACAUGCAAGUAGAACGCUGAAGAGAGGAGCUUGCUCUUCUUGGAUGAGUUGCGAACGGGUGAGUAACGCGUAGGUAACCUGCCUUGUAGCGGGGGAUAACUAUUGGAAACGAUAGCUAAUACCGCAUAACAAUGGAUGACACAUGUCAUUUAUUUGAAAGGGGCAAUUGCUCCACUACAAGAUGGACCUGCGUUGUAUUAGCUAGUAGGUGAGGUAAUGGCUCACCUAGGCGACGAUACAUAGCCGACCUGAGAGGGUGAUCGGCCACACUGGGACUGGGACACGGCCCAGACUCCUACGGGAGGCAGCAGUAGGGAAUCUUCGGCAAUGGGGGCAACCCUGACCGAGCAACGCCGCGUGAGUGAAGAAGGUUGUCGGAUCGUAAAGCUCUGUUGUAAGUCAAGGACGGGUGUGAGAGUGGAAAGUUCACACUGUGACGGUAGCUUACCAGAAAGGGACGGCUAACUACGUG